Non-coding RNA from Bactrocera oleae (olive fruit fly), 1214 nucleotides. The record is from RefSeq and is a predicted model, not a curated record. NCBI's taxonomy places the organism in Eukaryota, Metazoa, Arthropoda, Insecta, Diptera, Tephritidae.
AACUCUUCGCACUUUUAUUCAAUUCAAUUUAAUAAAUAUGUCACACUUUUACAAGGCUUUUUCCAAAUUUAUCUUAUAAAAAUAUCCGAUUUCCGUGUACAGCGCUACUUUUCAUUUAUUUCCGAGUAACACGGGCCGCGCGACCGUUUUUUUUGCGAACGGAUGUUCUUGUUGUCAGUUUAGCGCGAACCAUUAGCUAUUUUCGUAAAUUACAGAAAGCGACUGCCAAAUUGAUUGCAAAAUUUCAAGCACUCAGCGGUUCACUGCGCGUUCGGUUCGCCACUGCUACUCGGUACUGACUGACUAUGGCGACUGGCUAAUGGACGGACGCUGGUGAUCACUUUUCAUGCGCUAGGAAUAGCACAGAACACUAAAACGCUCAGUGAUUAUUUAGCAGGCAAUUGGAUUCUCGCUGAACACUGGCCGGUACAUAGCCAAUUGCUUGGCAGAACAUAUCCGUCACUAAUGUGGUAUACGCAAUAGACUAGAGAUCGCGGUCGAAAAAUAACGCAACCGAAUUAACGGUUAGUGAGUGUGCCAAAGCUUUGCGAAAAUAAAUUCGACAAAAGUAAGCAAACAAAAAAAAAAACGCAGAGAAAUUAAGCAUAUUAUGCGAAUGCUGUGCUUUCCAUAGCCUACUUCCUGUCGCUGUUGUUGCUGCUGAGCGCUGACGAACAGUGCGUAAAAUGUUUAUUACUUUAGCGGCAUUAGAAUCCCAAGCAAGUGAGUGGGUAAUGUGGAAAGUUGAUUAAAGGAAAUCGAUUGAAAAUAGAAAAGUCAGGAACGAUGAUAGAAGUUAACGCUAGAGAUAAGAUGAAUGUAAAGAUUUGCCAUUCAUAUUAUUGGGGUCUACACCGUCAAGUUCAAACGUCUUACAUAAAAGAGUAAGUGAUCAUCAUCUCAUCAUAAAUAAGAAAAUCAAGCUUAUCAGAUUACUUGAUCGAACAAAAACUGGCACUCGCAUACGUUAUUGCAGACAAUUUCAAGGACACAAUUCGGAGAAAAUAAAAAGACUGAAGUGAUACAGUCUUUUAUGAACGAAGUAUUGAAGUGUUCACUUAAGCCUUCCAAAAUCUAUAAAAACUAAACUAUAUCUCUCACAUUGAUAGCAGGACUCUCUUCUAUGAAAGAAUAUGCCCACAAUAGGUACAAUACUAUUAUAUAUUAUAUAUACUAUUUGUAUAAAAAUUAUGUGACAUUGAUCCAAAAUCGAA